CCAAUAGCGUAUAUUAAAGUUGUUGCAGUUAAAAAGCUCGUAGUUGAAUUUCGGGAUCAAUAUAUCGGUCGUGCCAUCGGUACGUACUGGUAUGAUUGGUUUCUCCUUUCUGACGAACCAUGAUGUCAUUAAUUUGGUGUUAUGGGAAGUUAGGACUGUUACUUUGAAAAAAUUAGAGUGUUUAAAGCAGGCUUUAGCUUGAAUACAUUAGCAUGGAAUAAUGAAAUAGGACGUUCGAACCUAUUUUGUUGGUUUCUAGGAUCAACGUAAUGAUUAAUAGGGAUAGUUGGGGGCAUUAGUAUUCAAUUGUCAGAGGUGAAAUUCUUGGAUUUAUUGAAGACUAACUACUGCGAAAGCAUUUGCCAAGGAUGUUUUCAUUAAUCAAGAACGAAAGUUAGGGGAUCGAAGACGAUCAGAUACCGUCGUAGUCUUAACCAUAAACUAUGCCGACUAGGGAUCGGAUGAUGUUAAUUUUUUAAUGACUCAUUCGGCGCCUUACG
Molecule: ribosomal RNA, 500 nt
Filed under: uncultured Glomeromycotina
Lineage: Eukaryota; Fungi; Glomeromycota
Description: partial small subunit ribosomal RNA
Rfam family: Eukaryotic small subunit ribosomal RNA
Source: RNAcentral